UGGGGAAUAUUGCACAAUGGGCGCAAGCCUGAUGCAGCCAUGCCGCGUGUGUGAAGAAGGCCUUCGGGUUGUAAAGCACUUUCAGCGGGGAGGAAGGCGGUGAGGUUAAUAACCUCAUCGAUUGACGUUACCCGCAGAAGAAGCACCGGCUAACUCCGUGCCAGCAGCCGCGGUAAUGCGUAGGGUGCGAGCGUUAAUCGGAAUUACUGGGCGUAAAGCGGGCGCAGACGGUUACUUAAGCAGGAUGUGAAAUCCCCGGGCUCAACCUGGGAACUGCGUUCUGAACUGGGUGACUAGAGUGUGUCAGAGGGAGGUAGAAUUCCACGUGUAGCAGUGAAAUGCGUAGAGAUGUGGAGGAAUACCGAUGGCGAAGGCAGCCUCCUGGGAUAACACUGACGUUCAUGCCCGAAAGCGUGGGUAGCAAACAGGAUUAGAUACCCUGGUAGUCCACGCCCUAAACGAUGUCGAUUAGCUGUUGGGCAGCAUGGCUGCUUAGUAGCGAAGCUAACGCGUGAAAUCGACCGCCUGGGGAGUACGGUCGCAAGAUUA
RNAcentral lists this ribosomal RNA (549 nucleotides) under uncultured bacterium. RNAcentral describes it as "bacterial SSU rRNA". It matches the Rfam family "Bacterial small subunit ribosomal RNA", at positions 355 to 896 of the family's 1533-position model. The record is from RNAcentral.